AUUGAACGCUGGCGGCAGGCCUAACACAUGCAAGUCGAACGGUAGCACAGAGAGCUUGCUCUCGGGUGACGAGUGGCGGACGGGUGAGUAAUGUCUGGGAAACUGCCCGAUGGAGGAGGAUAACUACUGGAAACGGUAGCUAAUACCGCAUAACGUCGCAAGACCAAAGUGGGGGACCUUCGGGCCUCACACCAUCGGAUGUGCCCAGAUGGGAUUAGCUAGUAGGUGGGGUAAUGGCUCACCUAGGCGACGAUCCCUAGCUGGUCUGAGAGGAUGACCAGCCAGACUGGAACUGAGACACGGUCCAGACUCCUACGGGAGGCAGCAGUGGGGAAUAUUGCACAAUGGGCGCAAGCCUGAUGCAGCCAUGCCGCGUGUAUGAAGAAGGCCUUCGGGUUGUAAAGUACUUUCAGCGGGGAGGAAGGCGGUGAAGUUAAUAGCUUCACCGAUUGACGUUACCCGCAGAAGAAGCACCGGCUAACUCCGUGCCAGCCGCCGCCGUAA
Molecule: ribosomal RNA, 504 nt
Filed under: uncultured bacterium
Lineage: Bacteria
Description: partial 16S ribosomal RNA
Rfam family: Bacterial small subunit ribosomal RNA
Source: RNAcentral